Ostrea edulis (European flat oyster) is the source of this 1940-nucleotide RNA transcript. It is a transcript of the gene named protein crumbs homolog 1-like, with no coding region annotated. Lineage: Eukaryota; Metazoa; Mollusca; Bivalvia; Ostreida; Ostreidae. The record is from RefSeq and is a predicted model, not a curated record. The transcript has 6 exons.
UGAUUAAUAUAACAAUGUGACUUUUUUUCUUCAGAAAAUUGUUCCUUUCUUUUAUCUUUUGCAGAUGUAGUUAGUACAUAUUAUACAUACUACUUUUUACACAGUAUUUACAUACACUGCUUUUCAUUUCGGCGAUCAUGAAUAGUGUACAAUCUUAAAGUUGAACUGUAAAACUUUUUUGCGUAGGUACACUGAUUAACAGAUACAUAGAUAUGAGGGAAGUAAUUGUAAGAGUUUUAUAUAAUAAUAAAAUUAGAUUGUGAAUAAAGAUAUUCUGAUAACGCUCUGUCAACCAGUACAAAACGCAACACUCCACACCCCUGCACACUUAAAACCCAUUAAACAGCGAUAAUACAAAACGUCGUCAUUUCAUCGUCAUCGAUGUAGAUCCUAAUCAAAAUUAUAUUGAAAAACAAUUAGAUGGGAUCUUGUGUCGUGUGCAGCUACAUCUUAUAAAAGGAAGGCCCAUUCUAUAGCCUGGUGACCGUAUCCGCUCCUCUAUCGCCGACAAUGAGUCUGUGUGCGCCUUGUUUUCUCCUCGGGAUCGGCGUACUGCUUGUGAUACAUAGGGUAGAUGCUGCGAAUGUUGUCGGAUCCCUGGAUCCUUGCAGUUCAAAUCCUUGCGUGAAUGGUGGGACCUGUGAAGUCAGGGGCGCUUCCUUCAAAUGCGCGUGUCCAUACUACGCUAUCGGUCCUACCUGUGAAAACAUAGCUAGAGGGUGCUCUUAUCCACACCAAGACUGUUUAAAUGGCGGUACCUGUCUUCGGGUCUCUGUGCCCUCUGGAGUCUGUAAAUGCCUUCCUGGCUGGUAUGGCGAGAUAUGUCGAGAUUUCGUAGCACGACACGACUUUGAUACCCACGAAGAUUUAACAUAUCAUGGCGAUUUAUCUGUAAAUGAGGUAUAGUGCAUUAGAUCGAAGAGGUAUGAUGUGAAUCGGAAUAUGUUUACAUUGGACUACUCGAUCAGAUUUUGAUCGUAUACUCUUAUGUAUCCGCAUCCACUUAGAGAUAGAAACUGACAGCUUAAAUUCUUUCUUUUGUUUAUAUAUUACACGAUACGGAAAAGAGGGUCAACCGAAAAGUCUCCAUGGAAAAGUUAUACAAACUACUGUUUGUGUCAUUUCAUGAAGUCGUGACGUCAUGACAUAAUACUGAAAAUCAUAACCGGUACGGAGUUAUCUCCCAAACAAAAGAGUUCACCCUCACUCACGACUAUGUUGGACUGGAUGGAAACGACCUUUGUCUGAGUUUCACAUUCAUAGCCGUGACUGAGGAUGCUAGGUUGGAUUUUUUUUGGCAAUUAAACCUUUUGAAUGUACAUAUCCCAAUCUGGAAUAGCGUUGUCUCGGGCCUCGCUACCGGAAAAUGGCACUUCAUCCAGACACCAGUGAACCCAUCAAGAGACUCUGUUCUCGUCAUCAAGGGAUCCACAGUUGAUACAACACUUGCAAUAGAUGACAUUGUUAUUGAAUCAGGAGACUGUAGAACAGCCCAAUAGAUGGAUUAAAACACUAUUAAUUUGGUAUUUCUUUGUCUCUUGACAAGGUGUACUGAUAAUUUACAUGCUCUGAUGUAAAAUUUUACACAAAUAAGUAUAUAUCUUUUUUUUUAGAUCAAGAUUAAAUAUGCAAAUAUUUACUCAGUUCAUUAAAGAACUUGAUUCACAAACCCCACAACAUGGCCCUUAGAAUAUGUAAAGAUAAAAGUAAAUCUUGAAUAGGAGUAUUGUGGUCACAAAUAUGUAUCAGAAUCCGGGGUUAAAAACAUGUUAGAUUUUGAACAUACGAGCACUACCAAAGCUGUAUGCAUAUUAGAACCGAAUAGGGUUCAUUAUUCUAGCUAUUUUGUCACCAUAAACUGGUUAAUUUUUAAUAUUUGAAGUACUUUGAUAAUUUAUAUAUUUUCUAUUAAACAAUAAAAUGCUUUCUUUGUAGUUUCA